GAUGAACGCUGGCGGCGUGCUUAACACAUGCAAGUCGAACGAAGCAUUUAGAACGGAUUAUUUCGGUAUGAAGUUCUUUAUGACUGAGUGGCGGACGGGUGAGUAACGCGUGGGUAACCUGCCUUGUACUGGGGGAUAGCAGAUGGAAACGGCUGGUAAUAACGCAUAAGCGCACAAUGUUGCAUGACAUGGUGUGAAAAACUCAGGUGGUAUAAGAUGGACCCGCGUCUGAUUAGCUAGUUGGUGAGAUAACAGCCCACCAAGGCGACGAUCAGUAGCCGACCUGAGAGGGUGACCGGCCACAUUGGGACUGAGACACGGCCCAGACUCCUACGGGAGGCAGCAGUGGGGAAUAUUGCACAAUGGAGGAAACUCUGAUGCAGCGACGCCGCGUGAGUGAAGAAGUAAUUCGUUAUGUAAAGCUCUAUCAGCAGGGAAGAUAGUGACGGUACCUGACUAAGAAGCUCCGGCUAACUCCGUGCCAGCAGCCGCAGUAA
Molecule: ribosomal RNA, 497 nt
Filed under: uncultured bacterium
Lineage: Bacteria
Description: partial 16S ribosomal RNA
Rfam family: Bacterial small subunit ribosomal RNA
Source: RNAcentral